This 728-nucleotide ribosomal RNA is filed under the name uncultured Alphaproteobacteria bacterium. Its description in RNAcentral is "bacterial SSU rRNA". It matches the Rfam family "Bacterial small subunit ribosomal RNA", at positions 8 to 781 of the family's 1533-position model. The record is from RNAcentral. Lineage: Bacteria; Pseudomonadati; Pseudomonadota; Alphaproteobacteria.
AGAGUUUGAUCCUGGCUCAGAGCGAACGCUGGCGGCAGGCCUAAUACAUGCAAGUCGAACGGAUCCUUCGGGAUUAGUGGCGGACGGGUGAGUAACACGUGGGAACGUGCCCUUUGGUUCGGAACAACUCAGGGAAACUUGAGCUAAUACCGAAUGUGCCCUUCGGGGGAAAGAUUUAUCGCCAUUGGAGCGGCCCGCGUCUGAUUAGCUAGUUGGUGAGGUAAAGGCUCACCAAGGCUACGAUCAGUAGCUGGUCUGAGAGGAUGAUCAGCCACACUGGGACUGAGACACGGCCCAGACUCCUACGGGAGGCAGCAGUAGGGAAUCUUGCGCAAUGGGCGAAAGCCUGACGCAGCCAUGCCGCGUGAAUGAUGAAGGUCUUAGGAUUGUAAAAUUCUUUCAGCGGGACGAUAAUGACGGUACCCGCAGAAGAAGCCCCGGCUAACUUCGUGCCAGCAGCCGCGGUAAUACGAAGGGGGCUAGCGUUGCUCGGAAUUACUGGGCGUAAAGGGAGCGUAGGCGGAUGUUUAAGUCAGAGGUGAAAGCCCAGGGGCUCAACCUUGGAACUGCCUUUGAUACUGGACAUCUUGAGUAUGGGAGAGGUGAGUGGAACUCCGAGUGUAGAGGUGAAAUUCGUAGAUAUUCGGAAGAACACCAGUGGCGAAGGCGACUCACUGGCCCAUUACUGACGCUGAGGCUCGAAAAGCGUGGGGAGCAAACAGGAUUAG